This 493-nucleotide long non-coding RNA is filed under the name Cavia porcellus (domestic guinea pig). RNAcentral describes it as "lncRNA (ENSCPOG00000033232.1)". Lineage: Eukaryota; Metazoa; Chordata; Mammalia; Rodentia; Caviidae. The record is from RNAcentral.
UUAGAAUGAAUAAUGAGAAGAGAACCUGAGGUGUGGGAAGAAAAGAAGUUAACCAGCAUAAUCAGCCUUCUACAUUCAUGGUUUUGUAUCUUUAGAUUCAACCAACCACAGAUCCAAAUGGAGUUACACCUGUGAUAAUUGCACCUGUGCUGAAGAUAGGUGUUCUUAUCAAGGGGCUGAUACCCCAGAAGAGGAAUCAGAUCACAAAGUCUAUGACUAGAAUAGAUCCACCCUCAACCCAGAGCAGGUGGCUUACCACUAGGCUACUCUCCAAGAACUCCUGCCAAGCACAGGACAGACGUGGAAAGACUUCUGGCUUGUGAACAAACAAAGGAAAAAGCCCCAGUGGAAAUCCCAUGACGCUGAGAGAAGACAACCUUGAAGAUAAAUGUUUGUCAUUGCUAUUGCUGCUCAUCCACUCUUCCACCACUCCGUUCUGUCACCCUAGCUGUCCUGUUACAUCCUCUCCACCAAAGAUACUAUCCACGAUCCU